GGAACUGUAAGCUCAAAAUGGUAGAGCGACCAGGUAACAACCUGGUAGGUUGGUGGUUCGAGUCCACUCAGGUCCA
Spinacia oleracea (spinach) is the source of this 76-nucleotide non-coding RNA. NCBI's taxonomy places the organism in Eukaryota, Viridiplantae, Streptophyta, Magnoliopsida, Caryophyllales, Amaranthaceae. The record is from Rfam.